UCAGAUUGAACGCUGGCGGCAGGCCUAACACAUGCAAGUCGAGCGGAAACGAGUUAUCUGAACCUUCGGGGAACGAUAACGGCGUCGAGCGGCGGACGGGUGAGUAAUGCCUAGGAAAUUGCCCUGAUGUGGGGGAUAACCAUUGGAAACGAUGGCUAAUACCGCAUGAUGCCUACGGGCCAAAGAGGGGGACCUUCGGGCCUCUCGCGUCAGGAUAUGCCUAGGUGGGAUUAGCUAGUUGGUGAGGUAAGGGCUCACCAAGGCGACGAUCCCUAGCUGGUCUGAGAGGAUGAUCAGCCACACUGGAACUGAGACACGGUCCAGACUCCUACGGGAGGCAGCAGUGGGGAAUAUUGCACAAUGGGCGCAAGCCUGAUGCAGCCAUGCCGCGUGUGUGAAGAAGGCCUUCGGGUUGUAAAGCACUUUCAGUCGUGAGGAAGGUAGUGUAGUUAAUAGCUGCAUUAUUUGACGUUAGCGACAGAAGAAGCACCGGCUAACUCCGUGCCAGCAGCCGCGGUAAUACGGAGGGUGCGAGCGUUAAUCGGAAUUACUGGGCGUAAAGCGCAUGCAGGUGGUUUGUUUAAGUCCAGAAUGUGAAAGCCCGGGGCUCAACCUCGGAAUAGCAUUUGAAACUGGCAGACUAGAGUACUGUAGAGGGGGGUAGAAUUUCAGGUGUAGCGGUGAAAUGCGUAGAGAUCUGAAGGAAUACCGGUGGCGAAGGCGGCCCCCUGGACAGAUACUGACACUCAGAUGCGAAAGCGUGGGGAGCAAACAGGAUUAGAUACCCUGGUAGUCCACGCCGUAAACGAUGUCUACUUGGAGGUUGUGGCCUUGAGCCGUGGCUUUCGGAGCUAACGCGUUAAGUAGACCGCCUGGGGAGUACGGUCGCAAGAUUAAAACUCAAAUGAAUUGACGGGGGCCCGCACAAGCGGUGGAGCAUGUGGUUUAAUUCGAUGCAACGCGAAGAACCUUACCUACUCUUGACAUCCAGAGAACUUUCCAGAGAUGGAUUGGUGCCUUCGGGAACUCUGAGACAGGUGCUGCAUGGCUGUCGUCAGCUCGUGUUGUGAAAUGUUGGGUUAAGUCCCGCAACGAGCGCAACCCUUAUCCUUGUUUGCCAGCGAGUAAUGUCGGGAACUCCAGGGAGACUGCCGGUGAUAAACCGGAGGAAGGUGGGGACGACGUCAAGUCAUCAUGGCCCUUACGAGUAGGGCUACACACGUGCUACAAUGGCGCAUACAGAGGGCGGCCAACUUGCGAAAGUGAGCGAAUCCCAAAAAGUGCGUCGUAAUCCGGAUUGGAGUCUGCAACUCGACUCCAUGAAGUCGGAAUCGCUAGUAAUCGUGGAUCAGAAUGCCACGGUGAAUACGUUCCCGGGCCUUGUACACACCGCCCGUCACACCAUGGGGAGUGGGCUGCAAAAGAAGUAGGUAGUUUAACCUUCGGGGGGGACGCUUACCACUUUGUGGUUCAUGACUGGGGGUGAA
RNAcentral lists this ribosomal RNA (1487 nucleotides) under Vibrio sp. RNAcentral's name for it is "bacterial SSU rRNA". It matches the Rfam family "Bacterial small subunit ribosomal RNA". Lineage: Bacteria; Pseudomonadati; Pseudomonadota; Gammaproteobacteria; Vibrionales; Vibrionaceae. The record is from RNAcentral.